CUGACCUCAAAUCAGGCAGGACUACCCGCUGAACUUAAGCAUAU
RNAcentral lists this ribosomal RNA (44 nucleotides) under Hymenochaetales sp. KUC20131001-10. RNAcentral's name for it is "partial 28S ribosomal RNA". The record is from RNAcentral. Lineage: Eukaryota; Fungi; Basidiomycota; Agaricomycetes; Hymenochaetales.